UUUUCACAAGGCCGGGGAGCAUGUGGUUUAAUUCGAUGCAACGCGAAGAACCUUACCUACUCUUGACAUCCAGAGAACUUAGCAGAGAUGCUUUGGUGCCUUCGGGAACUCUGAGACAGGUGCUGCAUGGCUGUCGUCAGCUCGUGUUGUGAAAUGUUGGGUUAAGUCCCGCAACGAGCGCAACCCUUUUCCUUUGUUCCCAGCGGUCCGGCCGGGAACUCAAAGGAGACUGCCAGUGAUAAACUGGAGGAAGGUGGGGAUGACGUCAAGUCAUCAUGGCCCUUACGAGUAGGGCUACACACGUGCUACAAUGGCAUAUACAAAGAGAAGCGACCUCGCGAGAGCAAGCGGACCUCAUAAAGUAUGUCGUAGUCCGGAUUGGAGUCUGCAACUCGACUCCAGAAGUCGGAAUCGCUAGAUCGAACGUCU
RNAcentral lists this ribosomal RNA (429 nucleotides) under uncultured Enterobacteriaceae bacterium. RNAcentral's name for it is "bacterial SSU rRNA". It matches the Rfam family "Bacterial small subunit ribosomal RNA", at positions 929 to 1351 of the family's 1533-position model. Lineage: Bacteria; Pseudomonadati; Pseudomonadota; Gammaproteobacteria; Enterobacterales; Enterobacteriaceae. The record is from RNAcentral.